UAGAUUAUACUUUCAGGGAUCAUUUCUGCAUUGGUUACUAGAGAAGUUAGAUUUUCUCAGAUCUUGUAGAACAACUGAAACCAUGAAGAGGAGCUAGGGUAUCCUUUUCUGAGUGUGAAGUUGGUUCUAAGUGUUGCUUUUGCAACUCCAUUUUAUAAACAUCGAUCCUCAUUCUUCUCUUCCAUCAGAAGAGUGAGUUGAAGAGGAUGCAGUCUGAGUGGU
Molecule: small nucleolar RNA, 222 nt
Organism: Sorex fumeus (smoky shrew)
Lineage: Eukaryota; Metazoa; Chordata; Mammalia; Eulipotyphla; Soricidae
Product: small nucleolar RNA U3
Exons: 1
Source: RefSeq, a predicted model, not a curated record